AGCGGACUGUUGCAAAUACAAACGACACCUGAGCUUGGGUAUGUUGAUGAUGAUGUUGUCAUAUGCUCUCCCAGAAGUUUUGUUGAGGCUAGGGAGAAUGCUAGAAGGAACCGUGGGGUGGUAGAGGUGAUUGAUGCAGAAAGGGAUUUUCGAAGAGGCCAUUCAGAAUCAGCAGUGGUAUUAUUUCCUGGUGGCAACAACCGGCGCAAAGGAGGUUCAACAAAACGUGCAAAUGUCAAUGGUGACCUUUGCAUAAACUUAGAAAGCAAUGAGAAUGCCUAGAGUAACAAUGUUUGUGAAGCUCUAGAAGUAUACCAGAGUGUUCCCCCGCCAAAGGCACCUAGCUUUAGUUGCCCAGUUUGCAUGGGCCCAUUUGUUGAAGAAACAUCUACCAAGUGCGGUCACAUUUUCUGUAAAAAGUGCAUAUGCGGAGCAAUAGCUGCUCAAAGCAAAUGCCCAACCUGCAGGCGGAAACUUAAAGUGAAAGACGCCAUCAGGAUUUAUCUUCCCACAAGUGACUGAAGGAGGCUCGUGGCCUGUGGUGUUAGAUAAUGCGGUUAGGAUUACUCAUAAGAUGCUAUUGGUAGAAGAAAGCUAACAUUGUUGCUUCACCAUUGGGAAAGAUCAACGGUGGAGCAUAGAAGUAACUACAGUUUCGAUCCUUCGGUCGGGAUCACUCAUCCUUUUUUUUGGGCUAGAGAGUUCUUAUAGAUGUUGUCUCAGCGCAAACUAUCUUCUUCUUUUCCCUUCAAUUGGUCCACAGUCCA
Rhododendron vialii is the source of this 767-nucleotide long non-coding RNA. RefSeq lists it as uncharacterized. The transcript has 5 exons. The record is from RefSeq and is a predicted model, not a curated record. NCBI's taxonomy places the organism in Eukaryota, Viridiplantae, Streptophyta, Magnoliopsida, Ericales, Ericaceae.